This is a long non-coding RNA of Dreissena polymorpha, 6334 nucleotides long. RefSeq lists it as uncharacterized. The transcript is spliced from 4 exons. Lineage: Eukaryota; Metazoa; Mollusca; Bivalvia; Myida; Dreissenidae. The record is from RefSeq and is a predicted model, not a curated record.
CGCACGAGUUUUUCGUUUUGGGGUAUAUAUGAUUUGCACAUCUAGUGAGACGCCAUUCGAGGGUUGUUUUUGACAGGCAAAGUUAUGGAGCAAGAAAACGAAAGGGUGAUAAAGUAGUUUAGGCGUUCAUUUGCGAAAUACAUAGUAUUCGGAAGGAGAUUUUCGAUGAGAGGACUGAUUCUCUGCUAGAAGCGGAAUGGUGAGCUGGAACUUCGAACAAAGGUCAGACUUGUUGGUUCUGUUUAUUGUAAUAACACUGGCAACAACAUUCCGAUUGAAAUUAACACAGGUUGUGUUCCUUGUUAACUUUAAUGAUAAGUAUAUUCAAUAACAUGCUCCAUAUCUUUAUUUGUGCUGUUGUUUUUGUUUAGUUCCAACUAUUCAGAUACAUCAAUUGAUUUGAUUAUUGGGUAAAAAUGAAACUAUUUAAGUUCAAAAAGAUGUCGCAAAUGUAAUGGUCUGGUAGGAUUAUAUAUAGGUAAGGCCACAUAGUGUGUCACUCCAGGUUGUUUUGAUAGCAGAGUUAGAUCACUCUCCCUCAUGUUUUUACGAACACCUUGCUUUAUUUUUAUUGUUUUAAGAUAUAAAACCUUAUAUGGUAAUACAUGUGUUACAAGUUUGUGUAUUAGUUCCAAGCGUAUAAUUCAACAAACGAUUAAUAACAAUUAACUGCCGUUUUCCUUAUAAUUCAGCUAGAUGGUUGUGUGCGAUAUAUGACGUGGUAUGAUAAUGAGCGGAUGAAAAUUUAUGCAAACAUAUCUUUAAACUAUUCAGGUAUUCCAAUUGUGAAUUAAGAAUGAAACAUAAAAAAUCGAUACAUUACUGAAAUAUAUAUUAUAUUCAUCUAUGAAACAGCUAUAGAGACUUGUCUUGUAAACUUUUUUCGAAACAUGUUUGUGUUGUGCAUAUAUUACAUCUCGUUCACUGGAUAUUGAAUAAACAGUUUAUAUGUUAUUGUUGUAUACAAUUAAAAAAUUUCUCUAAAUUGAAUUUAAACAUUAAGAGUUAUUAUAUUUUUCAUAAUAAUUUAAGACGUUAAGUUUUCCCUGCAAGGUUGGUGUCAAUAAUGGUGCAUGCAUAUGUGCUAAUUAAUUUACGAUAUUUUGGAUAAACUGUGGUAUAAAUUUGGUUUGAAAAGAGCGUUGACAAUAAGACUGUUGUUUUAAACUUAGAUGAAAGGCAUUUAUCGGUUUUGUUAAAUUUAGUUUCGUCAUAGUUAAAUGCAUUUUUAAAGAUUAGGUACUGUAAUGAUAACAAAAGUAGACCGGAUUUAUUUGCAAUAUAAGUCAUUUUGUUUUCGUGAUAGUUUUUGUUCUUGUUUGGUGGCCUGUUGGCUUGAUGUGUAAAGACAUUUUGCUUUUAUGGUGUUUGGCCGUUUUUUGAAUGCCAGUUAACAUGUGUAAUUUGCUUAUCGUUUUGGUGAAAGCCAGUUGACCAGAUGUGGAUAAACCCAGUUAGCGCGUGUAGUUUGUUAACCAAAUUUGUUAAAACGUGCGUUUACAUUUUUGUUUUUAUUUAAUGUUAAGAUUGUACUGUUCGAAGGAUAUUAUAUAUAUUGGGGAACAUUAAAUGUAUGUUAUUAAGGGCCAGAUUGGCUUAUGUAAAUUAACCGGUUGGCUCGGGUUGUCCGUUGACAGUUUGUUGAAAGCAGAUUUUUUCAGAUGCGUAUAAGCCAGUUUGCUUGCGUGUCAAUUCACUAAAAUGUCUCAAAACACAUGUUGAAAUUGCAUUUACACAUGUUUGCGAAGUUUAUUUUUUCAGAAGCUGGACAGUUCGAAGAAUAAAUAAUGAAUAGUGUAACAUUAUUAUAGUAAGAGGGCAGCUCGAAAGGUAUAAAAAAAAAAAAAAAAAAAAUGUUUUUUUUUUUUUUGCGUAAUGAUGUGUUAGAAAAUAACUUGUUAAGAUUAAUAAUGAUGCUUUUAUUGAUGAUGAUGUUAUAAAUGUUGAUGAUGAUGCUAACGUUAUUGAUGAGGAGGAGGAAUAGUUGACAGUAUUUUGUGAAUGGAUAAUACUACAUUAACGAAUUUUGAGUGAAUGAAAUUAUUUUCGGUUUGAUAAAUACCGAAUGAUGUUGGUCUAUACAUAUUAUUUAGAAGAGAAAGUGAGUAUGGUUAUUGUUUAGCACGUAAAAAUGAAUGAGUUUCUAGGUUUUGCGUUUAAUUGAACAAAAACAAGUAACGGUUCAGCAACAGGGAUUAUUCUCAGAUGGUACAUGUAUUCCUUUUAGAGUCACAGAAAUUCAACUUUGCAUCAAUACCGGUUUUCUUUGAGAUUUGUUUGAUGGGUUAAAAUUCCAAAAAUUUACGAGUUUUGCAGCCGACCAAGUACCUAUAGCUUUGUAUUUGAGUGUGUUAAGCAUUUUGUUGUUUUCAAAUUAGUAAAUCAAAAUUAAUACGGUGUUCUAGUAUAUCAAUUGAGCUUAUGCUAUUGCCAUGGAAAUUUGAGCCAGGGUUCGAUCAGUAGCUUAAAGUAUGUCUGUGUUGGUGAAUUGAACCUAAAACAAAUGUCAAGUCGGUAGUUUUAAUUUUAAGAGCAGAACAUACGUAUUGAUUGUGAGAACAUUAGUAAAAUGUGUUUGGUAUUUGUGCAUGUCUCUUGUGGUCAUUGGACCAAGUUGUUUAAGGCCAAUUGGCCUGAUUUUGAAAGCCAGUUGGCUUGUAUGGUCAGUUGACCGUUUUUAAAGCCAUUCUAUAUGGUGUGUGAAAGCCUGUUGGCUUGUGUUGUCAGGUUACCGAACUUUCUUGGAACGAAAGUCUCAUAGAAUUUACAAUAUUUGCAAGAUUAUUGUUUGCAAUGCAGUAACUGGACAGUUCGAAUAGUAUAUUAAGUAUUGAAGAACAUAAAGGUAUGGUUUAUGUUGUAUGUUAUUAUUAUUACUAGGAUUAUUAUGAUGUAUUUUAUUUGGGUGCAUUUGGAGAAUUGCAAAGCCGGUAGUUAAAAAAGAGCCUAUUACAUCAGAUAUAUUAAAGAAAUUUUAUCACACUUUUGUUUCUGAGAGCGAUUGUUCUUUGGGGUAUUUAAGAGGCAUUACAAUCUUUUUCUUAUUUUAUGCUGGUUUUUUUAGGAUAAGUGAAAUUUUGUCUGUUAAAGAUCAGAUGUUGUAUUUUUAGAUACGCAUUGUGAUAUUAAAGUUGAAAAGUCAAAAACGGACAUUUUAAGAGAGGGUAAUACUAUUCUGAUUGCAAAAACUAAUACAGACACAUGACCUGUGAAAUUGUUUGAAAAGUAUUUGUGUGUUGCAGAUAUUGCAUGUUCAUCUACUGAUUAUGUGUUUAGACCAGUUUAUUUGUGUAAUGUUAAACACUGUUUCAAAUUGAUUUCUAAUAAUAAGCAUAUAAGUUAUUCUACUAUAAAUGAUAGUUUUAAGAAGAAGUUAAGUCUAUUGGGUUAUGUUUCUUCUAAAUAUGGACUUCAUUCUUUUCGUGCUGGUGGAGCAUCUAUAAGUGCCAAUAAUAAGACUGUGGAUAGACUUUGGCAAAGGCAUGGUAGAUGAAAAAGUGUUUCCAAUAAGGACGGAUAUGUUAAAGAUUCUUUGAAAGACCGAUUAUCGGUGUCGCUAAAUUUAGAUUUGUGAAAAGUCAUUUUUAAUGUAUGUGUGUUUUGAAAUGUAUGAUGUGUUGUUCGUAGCACAUUUAAAGACACUAUAAUAUAUUAUUAUAUAAAUGGUUUGGAAAUGCUUUUGAGUAUUAUUAAGUUCUGUGUUUGUGUUGUGUGUAUGUUCCUUGUGGUCAUUGGACCAAUUUGUUUACGGCCAUUUGGCCUGAUUUGGUAAGCCAGUUGGCUUGUAUGGUCAGUUGACCGUUUUUUAAAGCAAGUUGAUCUGAUGUGUGAAAGCCGGUUGGCUUUUGUGAGUUGAACUUAUUUUCUUAAAAAGCAUGUUCACAUGGAAUUAACAAUCUUUGCAAGUUUAUUUUUUGCAGUGCAGUAACUGGACAGUACGAAUGGUAUAUUAAGUAUUAGAGAACAUAAAGGUAUGGUUUAUGUAGUAUGUUAUUAUAAUUAUAAGGAUUAUGAUUAUGAUAUUUUUUAUUUCCGUUUUAAUGUUUAUCAUUAAUUUUGUAAAUAUUGUUUUAUUAUAUCUGUUUAAUUCUCUUGUGCAUUAUUCGAUUGGUCAUUUGACCGUUUGUGAAGGCCAGAGUGUGCCUGAUGUUGAUUAGCCGUUUGGCUUGUGUGGUCAUUUGACCGUUUGUGAAGGCCAGAGUGUGCCUGAUGUUGAUUAGCCGUUUGGCUUGUGUGGUCAUUUGACCGUUUGUGAAGGCCAGAGUGUGCCUGAUGUUGAUAAGCCAGUUGGCUUGUGUGGUCAGUUGACCGUUGUUGAAGGCCAUAGUGUGCCUAUUUUGAUUGAAUUAAUUUUAUUGCUUUUACAAAUGUUUGUAAUUGUAUCUUUUCAGUUAAAACACAGUUCGAGAGGUAUAUAACGUGGUGGAGAAUAUUUAGUAUAUUUUCAGUUCGGUUUUUAGUCCAUGUGAGAUGGGAUCUUAACACGAACCGAUUUCUUUACUAGGAAAGACGAUGGGUGUAUUUUCAUUUAAGUCUGAAGCAGCUAAGUUUUCUUGAUUAUUUUGACUCAUUUGUUACUUAAUAUUGUGUUUGAAUGAGGUCUUUUAAGUUAUGGGUGUCAUGUUUUUCGAGACUCUCACUUCCUGGAGAUAGUACCUCCAGCAUACUUAUUGAAAUAUUGGUAUGUUUAAAUGUCAAGUGUUAUUAUUUUUUGUUGUAGUUCGUAAUGAACGUUUAAUUUUAAAGACAUUUUUAUUGUACGAUUACUUAAUAUUUUCAUUUUGGUGUGACUGGUUAGAUGUUGAAGUCGGUUUAAUAUAGCUGUUAAAUUCGUCAUAUGCAUUUAUAUAUUUCUCGGAAUAUUUAUGAUUUAUCAACAUUCUUUAUAGAUGCUUUAUGGAUUUUAUGGUUUGAGUGAUUUGUUUGUUUCUUGCUGAUGUCCGGGGUGUGUGCAGAAUGCUUUUGAUGUUUGUUUGUUAUGUUAACUUGCGCAAUGAAUUGAUAAUGUUUUAAUUACAUUUUUUACUAUUAAAUACUUAAUGUUACAGUAUCUUAAUAGCUGCUUAUUUGUAGAUUUCUCUAAAUUAGAGGUUUCGGGAGGUGAUGAAGGCACCUAGACACCGGUCUCGAGCCAUGGGUCCUCAUACGUCCCCCUGCCAUUAAAAGAAAAAAUAAGAAAACAAAAAUGGCAGUAGGGUUGCGUAUCCCGCUCGCGGUUUUACCUGAAUCGUUUAUUACUACUGAGUAUUGUAUGGGGUGUACGUGAAGUCAUGUACACUUCUCUUGAUUGGUGGUGGUAGAUGAAUCUUGCAGAUAUUAGCAGCUUCUUUGAACAAAUUAAUGUUUCACAUUUGUUAAUUUAUAAUAUUUAAGCAAGUUAGCGUGAUUGAUGGGCAUUGGGGGCGUCCUGUGUGCACUGUGGGCAUCGGCGGGGAUCAGUUUAUUCAAACAGUAACUCUUUUUUGAGAUAUAUACUUGACGUCUAAUUGUUAUGAAUACAUUUGCACUUUUUCACAUGACACACAUGUGUAUGUGAAGUAUUCAUAAUUACAUGCCCUACAGCAUUUAAAUAGUAUCGUUUCAGUUCUUUAUACGCCUGAACAAAGAUGUUACACCGUUUCCAGUCGUCUCGAGAUUCCUCAACUGAGCGGUGCCGUUGAGAAAAAUGACGUUCGUGUGUGAAAUCUGUGGGAAGACAUUGAAAUCGGAUUGGGGGUUAAAGCUUCAUGAUAAGCGCCACAGAGGGACUGGACGAUUCGCCUGUUGUGAAAAAACAUGUUACACAAAACAGGCGUUCAACAGACACAGAUGCAGCAUUCAAGGUGUUAAAAAGCCGUUCCCCUGUGAACAAUGCGGCAAAAAGUUUUCAACGAAAGAUGACCUGAAUCGUCACGUCCGGAGGGAGGUAGCUGCAAAGCAAUUUACCUGUUUAAUUUGCAAUGCAAAACUCCGAGAGAAAAUUGACCUUCAGGCCCACCUUGACAACCACAAUGGAGAGAAAAACUUUGCUUGUGAUAUGUGUGAAAAGAGGUACAGGCACCGCAGUAGUCUAUCAAACAGAACAGAACAGAACAGACAGUUUAUUAAGACUUAUACAAAUGUACAUCGUCUAAAUACACAAAAUAUAAUACAAAAUAUUGUCACGUGUCUAUAUAUUACAACGUAUGAGUUAUAACAAUAUACAAAAUGUAAUAUAACAAUUUGAGACAAAGUAUAUUUAACAAAGAAGAAAGACUUUACAUCACCGUAGUUAAAUAUAUAUCGUUUUACUAGCAGUAAGGAACUACUUUAGUUUUCGCUGGCAAUAUUAUUUGUGAUAAAAUGUCUUACGGCC